GCGGAGCCCCAUCCAGACCCUUUAGCUGCAGAGGAAGAACCACGCAUGUCAGCCUCGUUGAACAAGGAGUGUCAGAAGACAGAGGCCCUGUGGGACAUGAGCUGGCCAAAGAACCCGAGGAUGCCUGGAAUUUCAGACAGCCCCUGGCAUAGAAGACGAGACCUAAAGAAGCGGGCAGCUGCAAUGCAACGCUUGCAGCAAUGGGAGGCCCAGAUGCUUCUGGAAAUUGAAGAGGCAGUCCAUCAUGAGCUUACCAUCCAAGAUGGGACCCUUAGCAUGGAGUUUCCUGACCAAACCCAGGAGCCACUUAGCUUUGGCACAGUCAGUGUAGAAGCCCAGGACCCUGCUACCUUGGAAUAAUUUGAUCAUCUACACCACACACUACAGCUGGACCAGGAGGAGGCCAGUC
Microtus oregoni (creeping vole) is the source of this 409-nucleotide long non-coding RNA. RefSeq lists it as uncharacterized. The transcript is spliced from 3 exons. The record is from RefSeq and is a predicted model, not a curated record. NCBI's taxonomy places the organism in Eukaryota, Metazoa, Chordata, Mammalia, Rodentia, Cricetidae.